GACGGAGGAUGCAAGCGUUAUCCGGAAUGAUUGGGCAUAAAGCGUCUGUAGGUGGCUUUUCAAGUCCGCCAUCAAAUCCCAGGGCUCAACCCUGGACAGGCGGUGGAAACUACCAAGCUGGAGUAUGGUAGGGGCAGAGGGAAUUUUCGGUGGAGCGGUGAAAUGCAUUGAGAUCAGAAAGAACACCAACGGCGAAAGCACUCUACUGGGCCGACACUGACACUGAGAGACGAAAGCUAGGGGAGCAAAUGGG
RNAcentral lists this ribosomal RNA (253 nucleotides) under uncultured bacterium. Its description in RNAcentral is "partial 16S ribosomal RNA". It matches the Rfam family "Bacterial small subunit ribosomal RNA", at positions 524 to 776 of the family's 1533-position model. The record is from RNAcentral.